GAUGAACGCUGGCGGCGUGCUUAACACAUGCAAGUCGAACGGAAAGGCCCAAGCUUGCUUGGGUACUCGAGUGGCGAACGGGUGAGUAACACGUGGGUGAUCUGCCCUGCACUUCGGGAUAAGCCUGGGAAACUGGGUCUAAUACUGGAUAGGACCACUUCUUGGAUGGUGUGGUGGAAAGUUAUUUCGGUGUGGGAUGAGCUCGCGGCCUAUCAGCUUGUUGGUGGGGUAAUGGCCUACCAAGGCGUCGACGGGUAGCCGGCCUGAGAGGGUGUACGGCCACAUUGGGACUGAGAUACGGCCCAGACUCCUACGGGAGGCAGCAGUGGGGAAUAUUGCACAAUGGGCGCAAGCCUGAUGCAGCGACGCCGCGUGGGGGAUGACGGCCUUCGGGUUGUAAACUCCUUUCGCUAGGGACGAAGCGUUUUUGUGACGGUACCUGGAGAAGAAGCACCGGCUAACUACGUG
This 468-nucleotide ribosomal RNA is filed under the name uncultured bacterium. Its description in RNAcentral is "partial 16S ribosomal RNA". It matches the Rfam family "Bacterial small subunit ribosomal RNA", at positions 28 to 507 of the family's 1533-position model. The record is from RNAcentral.